ACAUGCAAGUCGAGCGAACGGACGAGAAGCUUGCUUCUCUGAUGUUAGCGGCGGACGGGUGAGUAACACGUGGAUAACCUACCUAUAAGACUGGGAUAACUUCGGGAAACCGGAGCUAAUACCGGAUAAUAUUUUGAACCGCAUGGUUCAAAAGUGAAAGACGGUCUUGCUGUCACUUAUAGAUGGAUCCGCGCUGCAUUAGCUAGUUGGUAAGGUAACGGCUUACCAAGGCAACGAUGCAUAGCCGACCUGAGAGGGUGAUCGGCCACACUGGAACUGAGACACGGUCCAGACUCCUACGGGAGGCAGCAGUAGGGAAUCUUCCGCAAUGGGCGAAAGCCUGACGGAGCAACGCCGCGUGAGUGAUGAAGGUCUUCGGAUCGUAAAACUCUGUUAUUAGGGAAGAACAUAUGUGUAAGUAACUGUGCACAUCUUGACGGUACCUAAUCAGAAAGCCACGGCUAACUACGUGCCAGCAGCCGCGGUAAUACGUAGGUGGCAAGCGUCAUCCGGAAUUAUUGGGCGUAAAGCGCGCGUAGGCGGUUUUUUAAGUCUGAUGUGAAAGCCCACGGCUCAACCGUGGAGGGUCAUUGGAAACUGGAAAACUUGAGUGCAGAAGAGGAAAGUGGAAUUCCAUGUGUAGCGGUGAAAUGCGCAGAGAUAUGGAGGAACACCAGUGGCGAAGGCGACUUUCUGGUCUGUAACUGACGCUGAUGUGCGAAAGCGUGGGGAUCAAACAGGAUUAGAUACCCUGGUAGUCCACGCCGUAAACGAUGAGUGCUAAGUGUUAGGGGGUUUCCGCCCCUUAGUGCUGCAGCUAACGCAUUAAGCACUCCGCCUGGGGAGUACGACCGCAAGGUUGAAACUCAAAGGAAUUGACGGGGACCCGCACAAGCGGUGGAGCAUGUGGUUUAAUUCGAAGCAACGCGAAGAACCUUACCAAAUCUUGACAUCCUUUGACAACUCUAGAGAUAGAGCCUUCCCCUUCGGGGGACAAAGUGACAGGUGGUGCAUGGUUGUCGUCAGCUCGUGUCGUGAGAUGUUGGGUUAAGUCCCGCAACGAGCGCAACCCUUAAGCUUAGUUGCCAUCAUUAAGUUGGGCACUCUAAGUUGACUGCCGGUGACAAACCGGAGGAAGGUGGGGAUGACGUCAAAUCAUCAUGCCCCUUAUGAUUUGGGCUACACACGUGCUACAAUGGACAAUACAAAGGGCAGCGAAACCGCGAGGUCAAGCAAAUCCCAUAAAGUUGUUCUCAGUUCGGAUUGUAGUCUGCAACUCGACUACAUGAAGCUGGAAUCGCUAGUAAUCGUAGAUCAGCAUGCUACGGUGAAUACGUUCCCGGGUCU
RNAcentral lists this ribosomal RNA (1347 nucleotides) under uncultured bacterium. RNAcentral's name for it is "bacterial SSU rRNA". It matches the Rfam family "Bacterial small subunit ribosomal RNA", at positions 53 to 1381 of the family's 1533-position model. The record is from RNAcentral.